This is a long non-coding RNA of Lagenorhynchus albirostris (white-beaked dolphin), 919 nucleotides long. RefSeq lists it as uncharacterized. Lineage: Eukaryota; Metazoa; Chordata; Mammalia; Artiodactyla; Delphinidae. The transcript has 2 exons. The record is from RefSeq and is a predicted model, not a curated record.
AGCCUAGUCACCAGGGACAUGCCGCGCUGAGUCCCGGGCUCAGAGGCACCAAGGCCGACAGGGCGGGCUGCUCUGUGUCAGGGCCCGGUUUCCGGGACCACCCGCCGGGCCGGGUCCCUCCGGGCAGAACCGCAUAGCCGCGCCUGGACCCAGAAAGCGUCGCGUCCAACCCGCGAGUCCCCGUGUAAGAUCCACAUGGGCAAGACCUUUAUCUGCUUUGUGUCCCAGAUGUAUCCCAGAUGUAUCCCAGGUGCCUAGAACAACAUCUGGCACAUAGCAUUGCUCAAUCAAUAUUGGCUGGAUGAGUGAAUGAGCUCUAAAGAAUGAGAAUUAACCAGGAAAACUGUUUGAAGAGGACAGUGGAGGAGAAUGUUCUGGGUAAAGAAACAGCAUAUAUAAAUGCCUUAACAAAUUAAGGGAGAAAAAUAACAUUUACACAUCAAACAGAUGACAUAAAAACAGUUGAUAAAAUUUAACACUCAUUCAUGAUAAGGACAAACUCUUUACUUAACAAGUUCUAAACAAACUCGUGCACUUACUUCUAAACUUGAUAAAGGGUUAUCUACCAGAAACUUACAGCAAACACCAUGUGUAACGGUGGAGCAUGAGAAGCAUUCCCACGGUCCAGCUGUUCUUCUGGCAUAUGGAAGGAUCACACUUCCCUACCCCUUUGGAAGUUAGGCUUGGCCAUGCGACUUGCUUUGAAAUGUCAGUGGACAGAACAGCAGUUACUUCAGGGUGGAAGCUUCAAAAGCCAGUACAUAAUUCCUCCUGCCAUAGUGAUUGUGGAAGCACACGUCCAUGUGCUUAGCCUCCAUCAGCCUGAGUCUCUGAGAAAUAACAAUAAGGAGCCCCUCCCUGACCCAUGACUUGUGUUGAAUAUGAGGUGUAAAUGAGAAAUAAAUUUUGAUUGUGUUGA